Molecule: ribosomal RNA, 301 nt
Filed under: uncultured bacterium
Lineage: Bacteria
Description: partial 16S ribosomal RNA
Rfam family: Bacterial small subunit ribosomal RNA
Source: RNAcentral
CAGUAGCCGCGGUAAUACGUAGGUGGCAAGCGUUGUCCGGAGUUAUUGGGCGUAAAGCGCGCGCAGGUGGUUUAAUAAGUCUGAUGUGAAAGCCCACGGCUCAACCGUGGAGGGUCAUUGGAAACUGUUAAACUUGAGUGCGGGAGAGAAAAGUGGAAUUCCUAGUGUAGCGGUGAAAUGCGUAGAGAUUAGGAGGAACACCAGUGGCGAAGGCGGCUUUUUGGCCUGUAACUGACACUGAGGCGCGAAAGCGUGGGGAGCAAACAGGAUUAGAUACCCGUGUAGUCCCUGUCUCUUAUAC